This 438-nucleotide long non-coding RNA is filed under the name Ananas comosus (pineapple). RNAcentral describes it as "long non-coding RNA (ACOM_LNC034194)". Lineage: Eukaryota; Viridiplantae; Streptophyta; Magnoliopsida; Poales; Bromeliaceae. The record is from RNAcentral.
CUAUUCAGAAAUUCCAGAACUUCAGGGAUUUUGAGGUUAAAAUAUAUCUUCGAUGCUGAGCAUGUCGAUAAAUGUACCUUCUCUAUAUUGAAGUAUUGAAAAAAAACCGAAAUAAUAGGUCAACAAUAUUAUAUAUAAUAAUAGCAUUUUAAUUUAAACUUAUAUGUUUAUUUCGUAACCUUUAAACGUUCGAACUGUCAUUCCAGCAAGAAUUAUGAUUAUAGGAGUGCUCUUCUCUUCCUCGUAAAUAUUCUCCUCGUCAAAAUCUGUUGCAAAUCUAUCCCAUAACGUCGCUGGCAUAGUGGUUCUCCUGCAAAAUAAAUUAUAUUAAUUCAGCAGCAGUAAUGAAGCUAGUCGAAAUAAGAUGAUUUGCAAAUAUGAAUCACUAACUCAAAAUCUUCUAUCUCUAAAUUUCUGAUUGGAGUAAGUGAUUGGCCA